Molecule: long non-coding RNA, 363 nt
Filed under: Brassica rapa (field mustard)
Lineage: Eukaryota; Viridiplantae; Streptophyta; Magnoliopsida; Brassicales; Brassicaceae
Description: long non-coding RNA (BRAP_LNC007525)
Source: RNAcentral
UAAUCUCUUUGACUUGAAAACACCAAACUUUAUAUGAAUUUUUCAAUUUUGUCUCAUGUCUUUGUUACUAAUCUUUUUUUUUUUGCAGGUUUUUAAUUAUUUGAUACUCAUCUUCCACUAAUUUAAAGGUAGAUCUAUUAUUUUAGAUAUGUAUUUUUGUGUGUUCUUUAAAGGUAGAUUUAUCUAAUCUUCCACUCAUUUUUUUCUGUUUUUAAGCCAUUUGAACGUUUUUGAAUAUGCAGGUUUUUCAGAUCUGGAUUUAAUAUGCAGGUUUUUCAGAUCUGGAAGACUUCUGGGACGACUUACUUGUUAGUCGUCUGGAAGUCAUCUGGAAGUCGUCUGGAAGUCGUCUGGACUUCCUAU